This 3482-nucleotide long non-coding RNA is filed under the name Malus domestica (apple). RNAcentral's name for it is "long non-coding RNA (MDOM_LNC018238)". The record is from RNAcentral. Lineage: Eukaryota; Viridiplantae; Streptophyta; Magnoliopsida; Rosales; Rosaceae.
GUCUUUAUCAUGCUGUUCAUAUAAAGAACUUGUUAGGAAUGAUUUGUUUGUGAUGCAUAUUCAUCCAAUUCAAUGAUUCUAGGGAAAUCUGAAGGUUAAUUUAAGCGGACCUAAUUAACUUGGAGUGUCGAGAUUCAUAACUUAUUAAAUUGAUAACUGGAAAUUGAUUUAGGUUGCAUAUAUUUCAUGUGUGGAGAAGAACCCCUUAGCUAUUCCAUCAUCCAUUGAUUCUUCAUAACUUUGUCUUACAAUCUGUUUCUAUUACAAUCUGCCAUUUAAGUUUAUUUUCGUCCAAAUCAAAUCCCCAUUUAUUUUGAAGUCCUAGAUUAGUUGGAAAGUGUGUUGGUUUAUGUUUUUAAGUGUUUUGGUACAAGUUAAAACCCAAAUUCGUCCAAUUUGGUGCUUUGUGUUCAAAACUGCCCAGAAAGUGUUUUUAAGGCAGUUUUGAAUCUUUUGGUUGCUGUUUUGAGUUUUUGGUUUGUUUUAGUAUUUUAAACGUGAGUUUGCAUUCUUUGAGUCUAAUCUAGUGUUUAAACCUUGUUUUUACGUUUCUAAUUCAGUUUCAAGUGAUUAGUACCCCUAGUUAAUCCCCGGUUAUAACGAUCCCUACGUACAUCAUUACUACAAUCAUCACAAAUAGGGUUUAAUUUUGUGUGUUAACAUAAUUUUCACAUCAAGAGAGAGAGGAGAAAUGAAAGAUUGGAUGAGACUUUUCAGAUUACUUUUUCAUGAAUGUAAAUGUUUACAAGAUAAGCUAUAUAUAGCAUUUUACACUUUCACAGCUCACCUCUAACGUACUUUUAACAACUCAGCUAACUACCAACAAUUCUCAAAUAUAUUUAACUGACAUGGCAGCUGACAUGGCACACACUCACACUUUAUUUGAUGUCUACACAUAUCAUCCCCCCUCAAUCUCAGCUGGAUUUACCAAGCCUGAUAUUGCAACAAUGUUUGAAGAACGCUAGACGAAUCAAACCUUUAGUUAGAAUAUUGAUGCGAAAAUUAUCUUAACACACAAAUUUAACCCUCUUUUGACAAUUGUAGUACAAGUAUAAUUAGGGAUCGUUCUGGACCGGGGAUUAGGAUGGCUUGCUAAUAACCUCUAAACUGACUCAAAAACAUAAAACUAAAUUUAAAAACACUUAACAAGACUCACAAGACUCAAAGCAAACUAAAAAUACUCAAAACAGCUUAAAACAACCAAAUAAACUUAAACUAGACACUAGGAAUGACUUUGGACGAAAAUUGACUUUUACUUGAAUCAAAACACUUAAAAACACAAAUUAAAACAGAUUUGAAACACUUUGAAACAAGAAACUAAAAGGGGGUUUGGAUGAAGUUGAAACAAACAAACAAGUAUGAAAAACUAGACAGAUUGUAAAACGAAUGUGAGAAAUAAGAUGAUGGAUGGGAUAGCUAGAGGCUUUUUCUCCACACAUAACAUGUAUGCAAAUAACUUGAUUUCCAGUUACUACUUCAUUGAAUUAUGAAUAACAAUGCUCCAAAUUAACCGUGACAUCACUAAUUAACUCUCAGAUUUUCCUUGUUUUAUUGGAUUGGAUGACAACAUUCGACAACCCAAAUCAUUCGACACCCCUUUGUGGCUGAGCUCUUUGUCAUUUUUACAUUAAUUCUUCUUUCUCUUAACACAUUCCUAGCCUCUUUAGUCUUCAAUUUUGUCCAUCCAACUUGCUCCAUGCAUGUGUUAUUCAUUCCAAGCCCAAAACUGCUACAAAAUGCAUUUUAUUGCUUUAUAAGGCCUAUGGACCUACAAACACACGAAAAUAGCUUAAAAUACAUAAUUAACUAAGAAAUAACAACAUAAAUGCAUGAGAACAAGCUAACUCAGUUGCAUAAAUAUGCUCCUAUCAAAUUCCCCCACACUUAGCUUUUGCUAGUCCUCGAGCAAAACAAAACAAACAAAACAAACAAAACACAACCUAGAUCUUCCAACAUUUGCCUCAGGGAUUUUUAAUGAAACAUGACAUGUUAAAAAUCAUCAUUCCCACAGAUUUUGGUUAUCUUUACACUUGAGCACAUACUUAAUCACAGUCACCACUUACUAGUUCACAAUUAACCAAUUAAAACAAUGUUUUGAAUGUAGUAACAUGCCUUAGAGAAUUUGCUCAAUUCCUUACAACUCUCUAUUUUCACACACAUUUUCUGACUACACACCCUACACUAAUAUAUGUGAGAAGAUUGAUGUAAACACGAAAGACUAGGACUCACAUAUGUUAUAACAAAGAAAGCAAUUUUCUGGAGUUAUUAAGCAUGUUUAGAUAUGAUCUCAUGAAUGGAAUGCUACUAUUUAGAUGCGAGAACCAGUGACACCAUAUGCUCAUACCAAUUUCGAACUCCACAAAUUGAAACACAUAACACUCAAGAUUGAAGUCAAGGGUUGUAACAGGGCUUGGGGGUAAUGGUUAAUAAAGAAGGGAUAGGAAUAACAAACGUUCUUAAAGCGAUAGCAAGCAAAGCAAUGAAAUAGACACUUGGAAUUCACUUUAGAAUGCAGAAUCAACUUUUAAAUACAAAGGGAGGAUUCAUGCAACACUUAGGGCUCUUUUUCAUACUGUUUUAAAUUCUUUUUUUCUUUUGACUCUUUUUUUUUCUUUUCUACCCGUGCCUUAUUAAGGACUUUGGCACACACACACACAAGAAUCACUUCCCCCACACUUGCUUUCUGCCAUACAUUGAUAAAAAAAGGAGUUCAUUUUAAGUCAUGCUUUACUAUGCUUCAAGAAUAAGGGUAUGGAUGGUCCUAAAACUAGGCUAGGUAAGGAUAGUGUGGGUUAACAAAGAACAUAGGCUUAACAAGGUUUAACGAGGUUAAAUUUAAACACAUAAUGAAAUAGGGGCACGGCAAUUUGGCUUUGGUGGUCACUACACAACUUCAUCUUGAAUAUGUGUUAUGCAAAUCAAUAGCAUGCUUUGAAUGAAAUAGGCAUGAGUUCUAGCAUUUGGAACUAAAUGAUGAAACGUCUUCUAAAUAGCAACCAAGCAAAGAAUAAUGAGAUCAUGCAACGACUUUAGAAAAUAAUGGUGCACAGAUUAUUAACUCUCCAAAUAAAUGUUUAGGCUCAAGUCUCAUAAGGUUGUAGCGUUCAUUUGAGUUCCUUCCUUCAAGCAUGUUACAAAAACUGAUUUUUCCUUUAUGAUUGCAUGUGAAUUCAUAAAUUAUAACCACAACCAAGCAUACAUCAAAGAGUAAAUCAAAUUUUCAUCCAUGUUUAUAACUCAAUUUAACAGUCAUGUAAUUAAAAACCAAAUCCUCAUCAUUGUGUUGGAAGGUACCCUAAGACACAAAUAAACACACAAAAACAACUCUUUUUGGGUUUUUCAAAUUUUUAUGAGAUUUUCGGAUUUUUGUGUCAAAACACACUAAAACACUCCAAAAUAGCUUAAAACACUUAAAAACAGCAAGGAACAACACUAGAAGUAAUGGGUGAUAAACUCCUACGAAUUUUAUGCAAAACAACUUG